GCAGCCGGAAGGGACGCGCUUUAUUCCUAGCUGUCUUACAGCUCUCUUCGCCCGAGUAAGGGGGUUGCCCGACGACGAGAAAAGAAUUCGUGGCGGCGGCGGAGCAGCGGCCAUGGGAGACCCGGGGCCGGAGAUGAUAGGAUCCGUGCCGGCGGCCGGGCCCGCGGCGCGCGAGCCAGCGGCGGAGGAGAACGAAGAUGACAUUCAGUUCGUCGGCGUAAGUAGAGCCUUGGUGACCGCAGCGCGGACGCGGUGCCGCGUGGCGUGGGGUGCGGACGGGGACCAGGGCCGAGCGCGGGGCGCGCAGCGUCCUGCCCGAGGCCGUGGUUUGAAGCGGGCGACAUGAUCCCCU
This 352-nucleotide long non-coding RNA is filed under the name Castor canadensis (American beaver). Its description in RNAcentral is "lncRNA (ENSCCNG00000029778.1)". The record is from RNAcentral. Lineage: Eukaryota; Metazoa; Chordata; Mammalia; Rodentia; Castoridae.